GACGAACGCUGGCGGCGUGCCUAACACAUGCAAGUCAACUUGACGGAAGGAGCAAUCUGACCGUAGAGUGGCGCAAGGGUGCGUAACGCGUAAGUAACUUGCCCCAAGGUAAGGAAUAACGUCGAGAAAUCGGCGCUAAUACCUCAUAAUGCAGCGGAUCCGCAUGGAUAUGUUGUUAAAGGUUUACCGCCUUGGGAUAGGCUUGCGUCUGAUUAGCUAGUUGGUGUGGUAACGGCACACCAAGGCUACGAUCAGUAACUGGUCUGGGAGGAUGAUCAGACACACUGGAACUGAGACACGGUCCAGACUCCUACGGGAGGCAGCAGUGAGGAAUAUUGGGCAAUGCUCGAAAGAGUGACCCAGCAACGCCGCGUGGAGGAUGAAGGUAUUCUAUAUCGUAAACUCCUGUGAGAGCAGACGAAAGACAGAUUAUAAUCUGGAUGACUGUAUGCUCAGAGGAAGCCCCGGCUAACUACGUGCCA
RNAcentral lists this ribosomal RNA (482 nucleotides) under uncultured bacterium. RNAcentral's name for it is "bacterial SSU rRNA". It matches the Rfam family "Bacterial small subunit ribosomal RNA", at positions 28 to 510 of the family's 1533-position model. The record is from RNAcentral.